RNAcentral lists this long non-coding RNA (660 nucleotides) under Manacus vitellinus (golden-collared manakin). RNAcentral describes it as "lncRNA (ENSMVIG00005002465.1)". The record is from RNAcentral. Lineage: Eukaryota; Metazoa; Chordata; Aves; Passeriformes; Pipridae.
GGAACCCGAGGCGAGAGAUCACCUCGCGGCGGAGCGGGGGAGGGACAUCUCCUCCCCCCAGCACACGGCCUGUCCUCGGCUCCCCUCCGCCGGGCACGCGGCGGAGGCGGCGGCCCGCGAAGGUGGUCUCGCUUUAUUGCAAGGGCAAACCUGCUGAUGCGCCGCCGCCUCCGCCGGGGCAGGCGAACCUGGCCGGCAGCACCGAGGCGGGGGCGUUUGGGGAGGGAGGAGGUCGUAGGGGAGAGCCGAGCACGUAAAGUGGAUAGGUAAAUAACCAGCGACAAGCAUGGAACUGACCAGAAAAAGGUGGCAUUUAAGUCCAGCUCUCACCUCAUCAUGUGCUGUCUACUGUUUAAAACUAAAGGCCUCAACUGCAAUAGAAGCAGGCGUGGCAGGAGGGAGCCUGAGCUUUCCGGUGGAACACAUGACAGCAGGGACCUGCUCCAGGUAACUGAAGGGGGCCAUGUAGAGAGGACACGCAGGAGGGCCUCUGCCAGGCUCAUAAAAAGUGGGUUCAUUGAAAGGGGGAAAUUUCACACUAUGGUUCCUUUUCUCUCCAGCGCAGCCCUCUACUUUCAGGCACACUGGUCUAGAAUAUGCUCCUUACAUUUUUCAGAAGCUUUUGUAAUUUUUCCAGAACAUAAUCUCAAACUAACAUAA